RNAcentral lists this ribosomal RNA (746 nucleotides) under uncultured bacterium. Its description in RNAcentral is "SSU rRNA". It matches the Rfam family "Bacterial small subunit ribosomal RNA", at positions 649 to 1396 of the family's 1533-position model. The record is from RNAcentral.
UGAUAGAGGAAAGCAGAAUUUCUAGUGUAGAGGUGAAAUUCGUAGAUAUUAGAAAGAAUACCAAUUGCGAAGGCAGCUUUCUGGAUCAUUACUGACACUGAGGAACGAAAGCAUGGGUAGCGAAGAGGAUUAGAUACCCUCGUAGUCCAUGCCGUAAACGAUGUGUGUUAGACGUUGGAAAUUUAUUUUCAGUGUCGCAGCGAAAGCGAUAAACACACCGCCUGGGGAGUACGACCGCAAGGUUAAAACUCAAAUGAAUUGACGGGGACCCGCACAAGUAGUGGAGCAUGUGGUUUAAUUCGAAGAUACGCGCAGAACCUUACCAACACUUGACAUGUUCGUCGCGACUUUAAGAGAUUAAAGUUUUCGGUUCGGCCGGACGAAACACAGGUGCUGCAUGGCUGUCGUCAGCUCGUGUCGUGAGAUGUUGGGUUAAGUCCCGCAACGAGCGCAACCCUCACUUUUAGUUGCCAUCAUUAAGUUGGGCACUCUGAAAGAACUGCCAGUGAUAAGCUGGAGGAAGGUGGGGAUGACGUCAAGUCCUCAUGGCCCUUACGUGUUGGGCUACACACGUGCUACAAUGGUAUCUACAACAGGAAGCAAGACGGCGACGUUAAGCAAAUCCUUAAAAGAUACCUCAGUUCGGAUUGCACUCUGCAACUCGAGUGCAUGAAGCUGGAAUUACUAGUAAUCGUGGAUCAGCGUGCCACGGUGAAUGCGUUCCCGCGCCUUGCACACACCGCCCG